AACGAACGCUGGCGGCAGGCCUAACACAUGCGAGUCGAGCGAGGACUUCGGUUCUAGCGGCGGACGGGUGAGUAACGCGUGGGAAUGUGCCCUUCUCUACGGAAUAGCCCUGGGAAACUGGGAGUAAUACCGUAUACGCCCUAUUGGGGAAAGAUUUAUCGGAGAAGGAUCAGCCCGCGUUGGAUUAGGUAGUUGGUGGGGUAAUGGCCUACCAAGCCGACGAUCCAUAGCUGGUUUGAGAGGAUGAUCAGCCACACUGGGACUGAGACACGGCCCAGACUCCUACGGGAGGCAGCAGUGGGGUAUCUUAGACAAUGGGGGCAACCCUGAUCUAGCCAUGCCGCGUGAGUGAUGAAGGCCUUAGGGUUGUAAAGCUCUUUCAGCUGGGAAGAUAAUGACGGUACCAGCAGAAGAAGCCCCGGCUAACUCCGUG
This 433-nucleotide ribosomal RNA is filed under the name uncultured bacterium. RNAcentral's name for it is "partial 16S ribosomal RNA". It matches the Rfam family "Bacterial small subunit ribosomal RNA", at positions 29 to 507 of the family's 1533-position model. The record is from RNAcentral.